AAUAGAUACCCGGGUAGUCCACGCCGUAAACGAUGUCGACUUGGAGGCUGUUCCCUUGAGGAGUGGCUUCCGGAGCUAACGCGUUAAGUCGACCGCCUGGGGAGUACGGCCGCAAGGUUAAAACUCAAAUGAAUUGACGGGGGCCCGCACAAGCGGUGGAGCAUGUGGUUUAAUUCGAUGCAACGCGAAGAACCUUACCUACUCUUGACAUCCAGAGAAUUUAGCAGAGAUGCUUUAGUGCCUUCGGGAACUCUGAGACAGGUGCUGCAUGGCUGUCGUCAGCUCGUGUUGUGAAAUGUUGGGUUAAGUCCCGCAACGAGCGCAACCCUUAUCCUUUGUUGCCAGCACGUAAUGGUGGGAACUCAAAGGAGACUGCCGGUGAUAAACCGGAGGAAGGUGGGGAUGACGUCAAGUCAUCAUGGCCCUUACGAGUAGGGCUACACACGUGCUACAAUGGCGCAUACAAAGAGAAGCGACCUCGCGAGAGCAAGCGGACCUCAUAAAGUGCGUCGUAGUCCGGA
This 521-nucleotide ribosomal RNA is filed under the name uncultured bacterium. RNAcentral's name for it is "bacterial SSU rRNA". It matches the Rfam family "Bacterial small subunit ribosomal RNA", at positions 777 to 1297 of the family's 1533-position model. The record is from RNAcentral.